RNAcentral lists this ribosomal RNA (445 nucleotides) under uncultured bacterium. RNAcentral's name for it is "bacterial SSU rRNA". It matches the Rfam family "Bacterial small subunit ribosomal RNA", at positions 354 to 796 of the family's 1533-position model. The record is from RNAcentral.
GUAGGGAAUAUUGGGCAAUGGAUGCAAGUCUGACCCAGCCAUCCCGCGUGCCGGAAGAAGGCCCUCAGGGUUGUAAACGGCUUUUGACGGUGAAGAAUCGACAGGAUGCGUCCUGUUUUGACGGUAGCCGUUGAAUAAGCACCGGCUAACUCCGUGCCAGCAGCCACGGUAAUACGGAGGGUGCGAGCGUUGUCCGGAUUUAUUGGGUUUAAAGGGUGCGUAGGCUGGAAGGUCAGUCAGCGGUGAAAAGCUGUCGCUUAACGAUAGUCUUGCCGCAGAUACUUCCUUUCUUGGAUGAGGAGGAGGCCACUGGAACGGAUGGUGUAGCGGUGAAAUGCAUAGAUAUCAUCCAGAACACCGAUUGCGAAGGCAGGUGGCUGUACCUUAAUCGACGCUGAUGCACGAAAGCAUGGGGAGCAAACAGGAUUAGAAACCCCGGUAGUCC